Molecule: ribosomal RNA, 460 nt
Filed under: uncultured bacterium
Lineage: Bacteria
Description: partial 16S ribosomal RNA
Rfam family: Bacterial small subunit ribosomal RNA
Source: RNAcentral
UCUACGGGAGGCAGCAGUGAGGAAUAUUGGUCAAUGGACGAGAGUCUGAACCAGCCAAGUAGCGUGAAGGAUGACUGCCCUGUUGGUUGUAAACUUCUUUUAUAUGGGAAUAAAACGUUCCACGUGUGGGAUUUUGUAUGUACCAUAUGAAUAAGGAUCGGCUAACUCCGUGCCAGCAGCCGCGGUAAUACGGAGGAUCCGAGCGUUAUCCGGAUUUAUUGGGUUUAAAGGGAGCGUAGGUGGAUUGUUAAGUCAGUUGUGAAAGUUUGCGGCUCAACCGUAAAAUUGCAGUUGAAUCUGGCAGUCGGGAGUACAGUAGAGGUGGGCGGAAUUCGUGGUGUAGCGGUGAAAUGCUGAGAUAUCACGAAGAACGCCGAGUGCGAAGGCAGUUCACUGGACUGCAACUGACACUGAGGCUCGAAAGUGUGGGUAUCAAACAGGAUUAGAUACCCCUGUAGUC